RNAcentral lists this long non-coding RNA (411 nucleotides) under Drosophila guanche. The record is from RNAcentral. Lineage: Eukaryota; Metazoa; Arthropoda; Insecta; Diptera; Drosophilidae.
AGUGUGUUUGUGAUCCCAUUACAAAUAAGUAAAGGGAGCUUCUUGCUGCUGCCGGCACUGGGAAUGGGAACAGGAAUGGAAAUGGCCAUGGAGUUGGGGGCACAUUUGAUGGAUUUGCAUGUGCUGUGACACAAGUCACUAAAAUAUCUUAUUACACUCACAUGCAGAUACAGCUACAGCUACAGAUACAGCUACAGAUAUGUACAGCCACACAGAGAGAUAUGCGACAGCUACGACAGACGGCUAUGGCGGCGGCUACACAUGUGUGCACUGAAAGAAAAGGAAAAGAAUGUACUGAAAAUGUGGGAAUAAAGUGAAGUGAUGCAAUAGAAAUGAGAGGAGUAUCCAGUGGAGUAACUACGAGGAACAAUAUCACGGAAAUGCGUUAUAAAAAUUACAUCUGGGGACGGG